AUAGGUCAUCAGACGAGAGAGAUUACCCGCUGAACUUAA
This 39-nucleotide ribosomal RNA is filed under the name Cavenderia aureostipes. RNAcentral's name for it is "partial 28S ribosomal RNA". Lineage: Eukaryota; Evosea; Eumycetozoa; Acytosteliales; Cavenderiaceae. The record is from RNAcentral.